UGCUUUUGUGGAUGUGCAGUGGCUCAAGGUGCAGCAGGUGAUUCUGUAGAAAGGAGUUUCUCCAAUAAAGCAGAGCUUCUCUUUCAACUCCAUGGACAUCAGAGAGAGUCCCUUUCAAAAAAGGAGGCUCAGGUCUGGAGAGACAAAGGCCUCUACUUUCGAAAAGGCCUCUUGGAUCAAGCCCAGACCCUCAUCAGAGCUGACAACAUGUCCAGCCUGCACUACUGCAAGAACUUCUUUGUCUAUGGUAGUGUGGUCAACUGAAGAAGCCGGCUUAGUUGCUCCAGUCAGGUGCUCACACUAAGAAAGGAUGGGUGAAGGUUAUAAAGUGGCUGUGAAUGAGAACUCGGUCUGGGCUCUACCAAGCAGAGAAGCCAUGCAGAGAUGAGAAAGGUGAAAGCCAUGAAACCAUGUUAAGCAGAAAAAUAAAAAUUCAAAACAGA
This 443-nucleotide long non-coding RNA is filed under the name Homo sapiens (human). RNAcentral's name for it is "non-protein coding LINC02156:7". Lineage: Eukaryota; Metazoa; Chordata; Mammalia; Primates; Hominidae. The record is from RNAcentral.